ACGAACGCUGGCGGCGUGCCUAAUACAUGCAAGUUGAGCGAUGAAGAUUGGUGCUUGCACCAAUUUGAAGAGCAGCGAACGGGUGAGUAACGCGUGGGGAAUCUGCCUUUGAGCGGGGGACAACAUUUGGAAACGAAUGCUAAUACCGCAUAACAACUUUAAACAUAAGUUUUAAGUUUGAAAGAUGCAAUUGCAUCACUCAAAGAUGAUCCCGCGUUGUAUUAGCUAGUUGGUGAGGUAAAGGCUCACCAAGGCGAUGAUACAUAGCCGACCUGAGAGGGUGAUCGGCCACAUUGGGACUGAGACACGGCCCAAACUCCUACGGGAGGCAGCAGUAGGGAAUCUUCGGCAAAGGACGAAAGUCUGACCGAGCAACGCCGCGUGAGUGAAGAGGGUUUUCGGAUCGUAAAACUCUGUUGGUAGAGAAGAACGUUGGUGAGAGUGGAAAGCUCACCAAGUGACGGUAACUACCCAGAAAGGGACGGCUAACUACGU
This 495-nucleotide ribosomal RNA is filed under the name uncultured bacterium. RNAcentral describes it as "partial 16S ribosomal RNA". It matches the Rfam family "Bacterial small subunit ribosomal RNA", at positions 29 to 506 of the family's 1533-position model. The record is from RNAcentral.